GGGCCUGUGGUCUAGUGGCUAUGACAGUUCCUUUACACGGAACAGGUCGGGGGUUCAAAUCCCUCCGGGCCCA
Molecule: transfer RNA, 73 nt
Filed under: Candidatus Woesearchaeota archaeon
Lineage: Archaea; Nanobdellati; Candidatus Woesearchaeota
Description: tRNA-Val
Rfam family: tRNA
About the family: Transfer RNA (tRNA) molecules are approximately 80 nucleotides in length. Their secondary structure includes four short double-helical elements and three loops (D, anti-codon, and T loops).
Source: RNAcentral